Molecule: ribosomal RNA, 460 nt
Filed under: uncultured bacterium
Lineage: Bacteria
Description: partial 16S ribosomal RNA
Rfam family: Bacterial small subunit ribosomal RNA
Source: RNAcentral
CCUACGGGCGGCAGCAGUGAGGAAUAUUGGUCAAUGGACGAGAGUCUGAACCAGCCAAGUAGCGUGAAGGAUGACUGCCCUAUGGGUUGUAAACUUCUUUUAUAAAGGAAUAAAACGAGGCACGUGUGCCUGUUUGCAUGUACUUUAUGAAUAAGGAUCGGCGAACUCCGUGCCAGCAGCCGCGGUAAUACGGAGGAUCCGAGCGUUAUCCGGAUUUAUUGGGUUUAAAGGGAGCGUAGAUGGGUUGUUAAGUCAGUUGUGAAAGUUUGCGGCUCAACCGUAAAAUUGCAAUUGAUACUGGCAGUCUUGAGUACAGUUGAGGUAGGCGGAAUUCGUGGUGUAGCGGUGAAAUGCUUAGAUAUCACGAAGAACCCCGAUUGCGAAGGCAGCUUACUAAACUGUGACUGACAUUGAUGCUCGAAAGUGUGGGUAUCAAACAGGAUUAGAUACCCUAGUAGUC